This is a non-coding RNA of Schistosoma mansoni, 45 nucleotides long. Lineage: Eukaryota; Metazoa; Platyhelminthes; Trematoda; Strigeidida; Schistosomatidae. The record is from Rfam.
AUACACCUGACGAGUCCCAAAUAGGAUGAAGUGUGCGUCAUGGAU